AUUGAACGCUGGCGGCAGGCUUAACACAUGCAAGUCGAACGAUGAAGUCUAGCUUGCUAGACGGAUUAGUGGCGAACGGGUGAGUAAUGCUUAGGAAUCUGCCUAUUAGUGGGGGAUAACGUAGGGAAACUUACGCUAAUACCGCAUACGACCUACGGGUGAAAGGGGGCUUUUAGCUCUCGCUAAUAGAUGAGCCUAAGUCGGAUUAGCUGGUUGGUGGGGUAAAGGCCUACCAAGGCGACGAUCUGUAGCUGGUCUGAGAGGAUGAUCAGCCACACUGGGACUGAGACACGGCCCAGACUCCUACGGGAGGCAGCAGUGGGGAAUAUUGGACAAUGGGCGAAAGCCUGAUCCAGCCAUGCCGCGUGUGUGAAGAAGGCCUUUUGGUUGUAAAGCACUUUAAGUGGGGAGGAAAAGCUUAUGGUUAAUACCCAUAAGCCCUGACGUUACCCACAGAAUAAGCACCGGCUAACUCUGUGCCAGCAGCCGCGGUAAUACAGAGGGUGCAAGCGUUAAUCGGAAUUACUGGGCGUAAAGCGCGCGUAGGUGGUUAUUUAAGUCAGAUGUGAAAGCCCCGGGCUUAACCUGGGAACUGCAUCUGAUACUGGAUAACUAGAGUAGGUGAGAGGGGAGUAGAAUUCCAGGUGUAGCGGUGAAAUGCGUAGAGAUCUGGAGGAAUACCGAUGGCGAAGGCGGCUCCCUGGCAUCAUACUGACACUGAGGUNNGAAAGCGUGGGUAGCAAACAGG
RNAcentral lists this ribosomal RNA (748 nucleotides) under uncultured Moraxella sp. RNAcentral's name for it is "bacterial SSU rRNA". It matches the Rfam family "Bacterial small subunit ribosomal RNA", at positions 28 to 776 of the family's 1533-position model. The record is from RNAcentral. Lineage: Bacteria; Pseudomonadati; Pseudomonadota; Gammaproteobacteria; Moraxellales; Moraxellaceae.